RNAcentral lists this long non-coding RNA (1237 nucleotides) under Homo sapiens (human). Its description in RNAcentral is "HSALNT0156722". Lineage: Eukaryota; Metazoa; Chordata; Mammalia; Primates; Hominidae. The record is from RNAcentral.
GCUGAGGCUUCCCCAGUGUACACGGAGUGCCCCGGCUCAGUGUCAGCUGCAGCCCUUCAUCCCCAUGGGAAAUGAACGUCCGGAGAAAAGCAGGAAAAUGUGCUCAUUACCAAGGAAAUGGGAGGGGCCCCGAGUCAGAAGCUGAGAGCACUCGGGGAGGCAGGAUGGUGGCAGUGAGUGGGUGAGCCCCAAGUGCAUCUCCAGGCCGGUGAGAGUCCCCCCCAGAUGCUGCUUCCUCCGCUCUGGCUGACGGAGGUCAGAGGGGUCAGAUGCUGGCCUUGGACAGCUUCUCUGCAGGGCUGAUGAAAACACAGCUUCCGGGAUGCCACAGAGGCCACUGGACUCUGCCAGGGCCCGGCGAGGAGAACGUGCCUUGUAAAUGACUCCAAAAUGCCAGGGAGGGACCACGGGCCCAGGAAAUGCUGUCCAUGGGACCCAGGGAUGGGCUGAGUCCUUCUUUCCCUGUGUAAUAAGUGGGGAUCAGGCGGAGGGCACAGGACCCCAGGAGGGCUGAGUGCCUGCCCUGGAGGCUGGCGGAGGUGAGUCAGCACAGCCUGCCAGGAGCUGCUGGAUGGGUGUCCGCGUGCCCCCAGGGCUGGUGGCCAGAUGCUGGAGUGUGGGAGCUGCUGGGACUGUGGCUCUGCUGCCUGGCAGCUACUCACAGAUUCUGUACGUGGUAGAGUUGUCUGUUUUCACCAGCAGUGUCUUAAAUACUGUGCAGUUCCCAGUGGGAUCCCUGGAAGGAAAAAUCGGAGAAAGUCAUUGCUGCCCCCAGACCCAUUUCUGACUCUUCUUAGCUGGGUUCUUCCAAGCAGGGGUCCCAACCCCCACGGCACCAGUCCAUGGCCUGUUAGGAGCCAGGCCACGAAGCAGGAGGUGAGCGGCAGGUGAGCCAGCGAAGCUUCAUCUGUUUACAGCCAGUCCCCAUUGCCUGCAUGGCCGCCGGAGCCUCCUGUCGGAUCAGCGGGGCCAUUAGAUUCUCAUAGGAGCGCACACCCUACUGUGAACUGCACGGGCAGGGAUCCAGGUUGCAUGCCCCUUAUAGGAAUCGAAUGCCCGAUGACCUGUCAUUGUCUCCCAUCACCCCCAGAUGGGACCGUCCACUUGCAGGAAAACAAGCUCAUGGCUCCCACUGAUUCUACAUGACAGUGCACUGCAUCAUAUUUCAUGACACAUUACAAUGUAAUAAUAAUAGAAAUAAAGUGCACAGCAAAUGAAACAUGCUUGAAUUAUCCUG